RNAcentral lists this ribosomal RNA (429 nucleotides) under Pseudomonadota bacterium. RNAcentral's name for it is "Proteobacteria bacterium partial 16S ribosomal RNA". It matches the Rfam family "Bacterial small subunit ribosomal RNA", at positions 355 to 776 of the family's 1533-position model. The record is from RNAcentral. Lineage: Bacteria; Pseudomonadati; Pseudomonadota.
UGGGGAAUAUUGGACAAUGGGCGAAAGCCUGAUCCAGCCAUGCCGCGUAUGUGAAGAAGGUCUUCGGAUUGUAAAGCACUUUAAGUUGGGAGGAAGGGCAGUAAGCGAAUACCUUGCUGUUUUGACGUUACCGACAGAAUAAGCACCGGCUAACUCUGUGCCAGCAGCCGCGGUAAUACAGAGGGUGCAAGCGUUAAUCGGAAUUACUGGGCGUAAAGCGCGCGUAGGUGGUUCGUUAAGUUGAAUGUGAAAGCCCCGGGCUCAACCUGGGAACUGCAUCCAAAACUGGCGAGCUAGAGUAGGGCAGAGGGUGGUGGAAUUUCCUGUGUAGCGGUGAAAUGCGUAGAUAUAGGAAGGAACACCAGUGGCGAAGGCGACCACCUGGGCUCAUACUGACACUGAGGUGCGAAAGCGUGGGGAGCAAACAGG